UACGUAGGGUGCAAGCGUUAAUCGGAAUUACUGGGCGUAAAGCGUGCGCAGGCGGUCUUGUAAGACAGAGGUGAAAUCCCCGGGCUCAACCUGGGAACUGCCUUUGUGACUGCAAGGCUUGAGUGCGGCAGAGGGGGAUGGAAUUCCGCGUGUAGCAGUGAAGUGCGUAGAUAUGCGGAGGAACACCGAUGGCGAAGGCAAUCCCCUGGGCCUGCACUGACGCUCAUGCACGAAAGCGUGGGGAGCAAACAGG
This 253-nucleotide ribosomal RNA is filed under the name uncultured bacterium. RNAcentral's name for it is "partial 16S ribosomal RNA". It matches the Rfam family "Bacterial small subunit ribosomal RNA", at positions 524 to 776 of the family's 1533-position model. The record is from RNAcentral.